ACAUGAAAAGAAAGAAGAAGGUACAGGCACUCUCCUACUCUAUCUACCCUUUGCAAUUCUUUCAUUGGACUGGGCAUAAUCCUCUUCUUUCUAUAAAUAGAGGCUACUGAUUGUCUAUUAUAGGUCAUCCCCUCACUUUUCUCUCUCCCUCUCGCUCGCUCUUUCUCUCUCUCUCCUCCUCUAAGCCAUUAUACACCUUUCCUUUUAAAGAAACUUUCUUUUUAUUAUUAUUAUUAUCAUACUAUCUUCUAAUCAAUUUUUUUUUUCAUCUGCCCAGCAAGGGAAAAAAACAAAAAAACACAAAGAAAGAAAACCAGAUUCUUUUCAUAAAUUAAAAAAAAAAGUUGAAAAACCAAUAGAAUUGGGACUUGGGGGAGAAGGAGGCCCUGGUGAUGUUGUUGACAGAAGAUAGAGAGCACAGAUGAUGAUAUGCAAUGGACUCUGCAUCCCACUCCUUUGUGCUCUCUAUGCUUCUGUCAUCACUUUCAGCCCCGACCCCCUCCUCCUCCUCCUCCUCCUCCUCCUCCUCCUCUAUUUCUUUGCUCAAUCUUCCAUGAUUUUGCUUUGUUUCAAUCUAUAUGUCAUUAAUGUUUUCUUUAGUUUGCAAGCGCAGGGCAAGUAACAUUUCAUAUAACGGAAAGGGGGGUCUUGAUAGUCGAAGUGAUUUCUCAGUAUGUAUAAGGAUCAUAUUUGUUCCCUGGCUAUAUAUAACCAAAAUAGCCAACUACCAGUGAUUGAUAGACCGUAUAAGAGGUAUUGUUCUUUUCAUUUCUCUCUCUUUUUUUCUUCUUUUCUUUUUUCAUGUAUCAUAUUAGCUCUUCAAAAAGAAUAAACUAAUGUUUUGAUUUAAAUUCCCAAAGUAUAAUUAAUUGCAAACUUCUUAAACUGUCACACUAAAAGGGAUUAGCUAGCUAGUUGGGACAAGUGCACUCAGCCUCUUUUCUGUUACUACAUGUUUUUUAGAAUAGAACUAAAGUGAUGAUUCCUAUCCUAAAUUACGGACAUAUGCUCAGUAGGUACCAAGUACAUGCUUUGUGAGAGAAGGGCCAUCCAAAUUAUUGGUGUUUUAGAUAUUUGUGGUAUAUUAUUUGUGUGUUUUUCCGUGAAGGAGUGUGUAAAGCUGAGCAAAGGAUAUUAGUUCCAGGCACAAAACAGGACGAAUAGGGCUGAAGUUCUCGAGAAUCCCACAAGAUGAUUAUAGAAGAAGAAGAAGAAGAAGAAGAAGAAUCAAGGGGAAAGAUCAGAGAGACUACUGCUUAACUCUUCACAUAAGUCUAUGCCGACACCAGCAGUUGUAUGUCUCAUGUUUGCUUGUUUCUUCCUGACGAUAAGCUUUUUUUAAGAUUAUUGAUUAUAAACUGGUCGCAAAACCAAAAUUGAAAAGAAAAAGAAAAAGAUUUUGUUACA
Molecule: long non-coding RNA, 1407 nt
Organism: Populus nigra (black poplar)
Lineage: Eukaryota; Viridiplantae; Streptophyta; Magnoliopsida; Malpighiales; Salicaceae
Exons: 2
Source: RefSeq, a predicted model, not a curated record